RNAcentral lists this small RNA (955 nucleotides) under Pan troglodytes (chimpanzee). Its description in RNAcentral is "retained intron". The record is from RNAcentral. Lineage: Eukaryota; Metazoa; Chordata; Mammalia; Primates; Hominidae.
CACAACUACCUUCAUUGCAAGGUAGGUACUGUUAUCAUCAUAUAUGAGUGAGGGAAGAGAAGAAAUGAAUUCACAUCCCCAAAGUCACAGAACUGGAAUUCAAAUCCAAACAAUCUAAAUAAUGAACUGAGCAACAAACAGGUGGCAUGUUAGGCCUUACUAGAAGGCAUAAGUCGAGAGCUACCACAAAUGAAACAAUUAUUCUUGUUAAAUGUUUGCCCAAGAAAAUUUCUAACCAAAGAAAUUAAAUUCCAUUUGAAAUCAAUGUGUUCAGUAUGUUAUGUGGAUCCUUUUCAUAUUAGACAAUGUAAAAAUAAUUUAAUUGCCUGACACAUCCUGUAUGGUAAGUGAUUCCUGAAAUAAGGAUUCUGAUGUGAAUUCUUACAUUUCUUAAGUACUUCAUUAGAAAUUCUAUUGUUCAUAAAAUUUUUACCAGAUGAAAACUUUAAUUCGUUGACUCACUUUUUACUUUCCUCCUGGAGUUUACCAAACGAGAACCAGAAGAUACGAAAAGUGCAGAUUCUGAUCGAGAUGUUUUUAAUGAGAAACCUUCUAAAGAAGAAGUCAUGGCAGCUACUCAAGCUGAAGGACCUAAACGAGUUUCGGACAGUGCCAUUAUCCACACCAGCAUGGGAGACAUUCACACCAAACUUUUUCCUGUUGAGUGCCCUAAGACAGUGGAAAACUUCUGUGUUCACAGCAGAAAUGGUUAUUAUAAUGGGCAUACAUUUCACCGUAUAAUUAAGGGCUUUAUGAUUCAGACUGGAGAUCCAACAGGUACUGGUAUGGGAGGAGAAAGCAUAUGGGGAGGAGAAUUUGAAGAUGAAUUUCAUUCAACAUUACGACAUGACAGGCCGUACACACUCAGCAUGGCUAACGCGGGAUCAAAUACUAAUGGAUCCCAGUUUUUCAUAACAGUAGUACCAACGCCUUGGCUUGAUAAUAAGCAUACAGU